RNAcentral lists this ribosomal RNA (601 nucleotides) under uncultured marine bacterium. RNAcentral's name for it is "bacterial SSU rRNA". It matches the Rfam family "Bacterial small subunit ribosomal RNA", at positions 54 to 699 of the family's 1533-position model. The record is from RNAcentral.
CAUGCAAGUCGAACGAAGUAGCAAUACUUAGUGGCAGACGGGUGAGUAACAUGUAGGUAUCUUCCCUUUGGUGAGGAAUAACACGAGGAAACUUGUGCUAAUACCUCAUAAGUCUUCACGGAGAAAGCUUUAUGCGCCGAAGGAUGAGCCUGCACUUGAUUAGUUUGUUGGUGGGGUAAUGGCCUACCAAGACUUUGAUCUAUAGCUGAUCUGAGAGGAUGAUCAGCCACAUUGGGACUGAGACACGGCCCAAACUCCUACGGGAGGCAGCAGUAGGGAAUAUUGCACAAUGGAGGAAACUCUGAUGCAGCGAUGCCGCGUGAGUGAAGAGGGCCUUUGGGUUGUAAAGCUCUUUCGUCGGGGAAGAAAAUGACUGUACCCGAAUAAGAAGGUCCGGCUAACUUCGUGCCAGCAGCCGCGGUAACACGAAGGGACCUAGCGUAGUUCGGAAUUACUGGGCUUAAAGAGUUCGUAGGUGGUUAAAAAAGUUGGUGGUGAAAUCCCAGAGCUUAACUCUGGAACUGCCAUCAAAACUUUUUAGCUAGAGUAUGAUAGAGGAAAGCAGAAUUUCUAGUGUAGAGGUGAAAUUCCGUAGAUAUUA